GCGCCGCCCGGCCACCCCACCCCGCCUCUCCACGGGCCAGCAGCCGAUCUGCACCGCCCCGCACAGGACGCCAGAGCAACUCCGACGGGCCGCCCUUCUCUCCUUCUUCCUCCUCACCGCGCCGCCACACCACCCCCUGCCUCGUGCCGACGCACCACUCCUGCGCGGCGCUGCCCCACCUCCAUGCCCCGCGCCGCCGCACAACCCCUUCCCCCGGGCCGCUGCACCACCCUCCUGCCCGACGCUGCCCCCACCCCCUCUCCCACGCAGCCGAACCACCUCCUUCCCCAUGCCUCCUCCUUGCAGAUCCAACCCGAGCAGGCCACCCCUCUGCCUCCCUUCCCGGAUCUGCCUCUACCUCGCCACCACCUACCUCGACGGCGGCCCACGUGGGUGCAGUUCACCCCGCUUCUCAUCGGGGUUCGGUUGCCCCGAUGCUGCAGUGCGCCUGGGGGUUUCCUCCUACCCCAUCCCGCCCCGUCCGGGGUGAGGUCGCUAUGCUCGUCAUGGUGAGGAGGGGCGAUGGAGGUUAGGACAUACCGGAUCAGGGCGCCCAAACCACCAGAUCUCAUCUAGGCAUGGAACACGAGAUUUGCGACGAUGUUUACCAUCAAGGGAGCAGGGCGAGGGAGGUCACGAUGACCAUGGCUGGGAUCCCUCUGCCACCGCUGUGCCAGGGGACGGAUCUGUGUUCUCUCCCCCGUCGCUGACAAAAUCCACCCCCGGCGGUGACUACACGCGCCGGCGUUGGGGAGGCUCUGCUCCUCGGGCUAGCAGCUACAAGAGGGAGGUGCUCUGCUUCUCCACCAACGGGCGAGCAGACUGCAGACGACUCCCAGGCAGUUCGGUGGCCUCGUGCUUCAGUCCGUUUCAUUCCAAAAAGGAAACUGGAAAAGUUUGCUGUUUCGCUCUUGUUUUUGACAAGAAUUUAGUGCUUUUCACUUCUAUUAAUAAAACCACAAGCAGUAUUCUUUCUUUUUCGAUGCGGUUCACUUGUACUUUUGUAUAUGCAAGAAAAAGGAAGCAUCAUGUGCAU
Long non-coding RNA from Triticum urartu, 1036 nucleotides. RefSeq lists it as uncharacterized. Lineage: Eukaryota; Viridiplantae; Streptophyta; Magnoliopsida; Poales; Poaceae. The record is from RefSeq and is a predicted model, not a curated record.